Molecule: long non-coding RNA, 262 nt
Filed under: Lathyrus oleraceus (garden pea)
Lineage: Eukaryota; Viridiplantae; Streptophyta; Magnoliopsida; Fabales; Fabaceae
Description: Pisum sativum (pea) long non-coding RNA (PSAT_LNC023718)
Source: RNAcentral
CUUCACUCAGUAGUGUCUCUGCAUCCUGUCUUCCCAAGAAGGAAUGUGCUAAUAUCAUCUGAAAAUAUCUGAAGGCUGGGUUAUGUAUGACAUAAGAUAACUGCGUAGAUGGAUCCUGGCUUCCGCCACCUGAUAUAUCACUCCAAAACUUCUCCACUUCCUUACCCAGAAAAUAUCCCAGAGGUGUCUCCGGGAUAGCAUCAGGAGUGGUCUGGAAGCCCAAUAAGUCGCCGAACUCUUUCUGGCUGAAGGAGUAUUCAAC